UCCUACGGGAGGCAGCAGUGGGGAAUCUUGGACAAUGGGUGCAAGCCUGAUCCAGCGACGCCGCGUGGGUGAUGAAGGCCUUCGGGUUGUAAAGCCCUUUUCCCAGGGAAGAUGAUGACGGUACCUGCAGAAAAAGCACCGGCUAACUACGUGCCAGCAGCCGCGGUAUUACGUAGGGUGCAAGCGUUGUCCGGAAUUAUUGGGCGUAAAGAGCUCGUAGGCGGUUUGUCGCGUCUGCUGUGAAAUCCCGAGGCUCAACCUCGGGCUUGCAGUGGGUACGGGCAGACUAGAGUGCGGUAGGGGAGAUUGGAAUUCCUGGUGUAGCGGUGGAAUGCGCAGAUAUCAGGAGGAACACCGAUGGCGAAGGCAGAUCUCUGGGCCGUAACUGACGCUGAGGAGCGAAAGCGUGGGGAGCGAACAGGAUUAGAUACCCUGGUAGUCCACGCCGUAAACGUUGGGCGCUAGAUGUAGGGACCUUUCCACGGUUUCUGUGUCGUAGCUAACGCAUUAAGCGCCCCGCCUGGGGAGUACGGCCGCAAGGCUAAAACUCAAAUGAAUUGACGGA
RNAcentral lists this ribosomal RNA (565 nucleotides) under uncultured bacterium. Its description in RNAcentral is "bacterial SSU rRNA". It matches the Rfam family "Bacterial small subunit ribosomal RNA", at positions 337 to 917 of the family's 1533-position model. The record is from RNAcentral.